This 951-nucleotide long non-coding RNA is filed under the name Salmo salar (Atlantic salmon). Its description in RNAcentral is "lncRNA (ENSSSAG00000096342.1)". Lineage: Eukaryota; Metazoa; Chordata; Actinopteri; Salmoniformes; Salmonidae. The record is from RNAcentral.
GUUGCAUUAUGGGGGAUGUAGUUUUUGCCCUCUAAGGCGAUUUUACGUUGUAACUUGUUUGUGUUGCAGUGGUUUUGUACAUGAGUUGUUGUAUUUUGCUACUAUCAACACUGAAAGCACCUAGCAAUGUAUUGGGGAUGUGAGACAGGAUAUGUGUUUUACCUUUCUUCAUGCUCCUGUGUAGAACAACUUGUCAGGUGGUGCAUUGGAGACUGAUGUGUUCCUGUCCUGUCUUUUCAUAAUACUAUUGCAGGGCAAUGACCCAAAACACACCUCCAGGCUGUGUAAGGGCUAUUUGACCAAGGAGAGUGAUGGAAUGCUGCAUCAGAUGACCUGGCCUCCACAAUAACAAAACCUCAACCCAAUUGAGAUGGUUUGGGAUGAGUUGGUCCGCAGAGUGAAGGAAAAGCAGCCAACAAGUGCUCAGCAUAUGUGGGAACUCCUUCAAGUAUUCCAGAACCACAACAAUAACAUUCCAAGUCAUUCGGUUUACCAAAAUCAUACAAACAUCUUCAAAUGGAAACAGCUGUGUCUGCGUGUGUGUGGUGGUGACUAUCAAGACUACAGUGAUGACCCGGAACAUCAUGUUCUAACCGGACAGCACUAUAGAGGGCAGAACCAAACCAAUCAGUUAGAAGUAUAUAGCAGGCCGGUGGUGGUUGGUCCCUCCAGGAGUCUGAGGUGUGGGAGGUUCCUCCGCCCCCUCUGGACAUCGAGGGGGCCCCGGCACACUCCGUCCGGUCCAUCCUGGAUUCGAGGCGUCGGGCGGGGGGCCUUCAGUACCUCGUAGAGUGGGAGGGGUACGGUCCGGAGGAGAGGUGCUGGGUUCCGGUGGCGGAUGUGUUUGACCCUGAACUGCUGCAGGAGUUCCACCGUCGCCGGCCGGACCGCCCUGCGCCUCGCCCUCCGGGUCGUCCCCGAGGCCGGUGUCGGCACGCCGCUAGAGCCGCG